Molecule: long non-coding RNA, 1270 nt
Filed under: Homo sapiens (human)
Lineage: Eukaryota; Metazoa; Chordata; Mammalia; Primates; Hominidae
Description: non-protein coding RNF144A-AS1:13
Source: RNAcentral
CUUUUUAGAAAUGUCAUUAUUCAAGAAAAAUGCACAAUGGGAAGAAUCUUAACAACAGCACUUUGUUACUUCAGCCUCUCACUAGAGGAUGAAAAUCGUUCUGCAUAAAGGCCUGGGCUUUAUGAAAAAUAUAUUCACACCUCCCGUGUCCGAGCUGGGAUACCAAAGAAGUUCCUGGUUGAGUACUACUUAUGAAUGAAGGAUUCAGGGGAUGCACAGAGGAAUCUGGGGGAUAUUAUGGUUCUGGGAAUGUGGAAUGUAACGUCUCAUCUUCAGCCCAUCUGUGCUACUGAUCAUCUCAUUCCAGAAGCCAUGCCUUCUCUCAGGAGCAGACAGCACAAGACUUUCCUGCCAGAGGCACAGUCCCCAGUGGGAGUAGCAUCCACAUAAGACAGGAUGCAGAGAUGUCUUCAAGCAGCUUCAAACAAAACUUCAAGAAAGAAAGUGCAAGUGAAAAAGGAAAUUCAUCCUUCCAGUCACUUAACACAGCACUGUCACGGACACCUUGUGCCUCCUUAAAAUUCGUAUACUGAAGUUCUAAGCCCCAGUACCCCAGAAUGUGACCUUCUUUGGAAAUAGGGUCAUUGCAGAUAUGAUUAGUUAAGAGGAGAUCAUACUGGAGUGGGCUUUAAUCCAAUAUGACUGGUGUCCUUAUGUAAAGGGGAAAUUUGGACACAGACACACACAAGGAGAACACCAUGUGAACUGAAGUCAAAGAUUUGGGUGAUGCUUCUACAAGCCAAGAAAUGCCAAAGAUGACCAGCAAAGCACCGGCAGCUGGUGGAGGAGCCUGGACCAGAUUCUUCCUCACAGCCCUCAAAAGGAACCAAUCUUGCCAAAGCUUUGACUUAGACUUCUAGCCCCCUGUGAUGGUUAAUGUUAAGUGGCAGCUUGACUGGGUUAAGGGAUGCCCAGAUAGCUGGUAAGACAGUAUGUCUGUGUGCAUCUCUCAGAGUGUUUCUGGACAAGAUCAGCAUUUGAAUCCUUAGAGUAAAGAAGAUCUGCCCUCACCCACGUGCAUCACCCUAUCUCUGGAGAGCGCGAACAAACAGGAGGAAGGGCACAUAUGCUCCUUCUGUUCCAGCUGGCACAUCCAUCUUCUCCUGCCCCCUGACUUCAGAGCUCCUGGUUCUCGGGCCUCAGGAUUCCAGCACUUACAUGAGAGCGUGCUUCCCCCUCCCUACUCCACCCCUAGGUUCUCCGCCCUUUGGCCUCUGACUGAAUUCCACCACCAGCUUUUCAGGGUCUCCAGCUUGCAGACGGCAGAUCG